UAAUACGUAGGUGGCAAGCGUUAUCCGGAAUUAUUGGGCGUAAAGCGCGCGCAGGCGGUUUCUUAAGUCUGAUGUGAAAGCCCACGGCUCAACCGUGGAGGGUCAUUGGAAACUGGGGAACUUGAGUGCAGAAGAGAAAAGCGGAAUUCCACGUGUAGCGGUGAAAUGCGUAGAGAUGUGGAGGAACACCAGUGGCGAAGGCGGCUUUUUGGUCUGUAACUGACGCUGAGGCGCGAAAGCGUGGGGAGCAAACAGGAUUAGAUACCCUGGUAGUCCACGCCGUAAACGAUGAGUGCUAAGUGUUAGAGGGUUUCCGCCCUUUAGUGCUGCAGCUAACGCAUUAAGCACUCCGCCUGGGGAGUACGGUCGCAAGACU
RNAcentral lists this ribosomal RNA (376 nucleotides) under uncultured bacterium. RNAcentral describes it as "bacterial SSU rRNA". It matches the Rfam family "Bacterial small subunit ribosomal RNA", at positions 521 to 895 of the family's 1533-position model. The record is from RNAcentral.